This 61-nucleotide transfer RNA is filed under the name Ictidomys tridecemlineatus (thirteen-lined ground squirrel). RNAcentral's name for it is "Spermophilus tridecemlineatus (thirteen-lined ground squirrel) tRNA". It matches the Rfam family "tRNA", at positions 6 to 65 of the family's 71-position model. From Rfam's summary of the family: Transfer RNA (tRNA) molecules are approximately 80 nucleotides in length. Lineage: Eukaryota; Metazoa; Chordata; Mammalia; Rodentia; Sciuridae. The record is from Rfam by way of RNAcentral.
UGUGGCUCAGUGGUAGAGCGCUUGCCUAGCAUGCAUGGGGCUCCGGGUUCGAUCCUCAGCA